UAAUUUAGUUUUCUUGUUCAAUUUCAUACCUUAAUUUAGUAGUUAUGUUAUAAGCUUUCGCGUCAAUGACAAGUGACAAGGAAGUUGGUCACUACAUAUUAUUUUACGCGUAAACCCAUCUCACCUGUUAAAUCACUGAACUUAAUAUAAGGUCUAGAGCUAAGUUGUAACACUACUCUUAUAUCGACAAAUCUCAAAUACUGUACUAUUGUUGAGUCAAUUUACAGUAAAUAAGUUAAUCUAAAAUUUACAGUAUAGAAGUUAAUCUAAAUGGUCUAAAUAUGAAAAGCGUCUUUCUUUAUGUAAAAUGUAGAGUAAAUUGAGAUAUUGCUGAAAAGAAUCUACUGCAUCGUGUAAGAUAGUUAAAAGGUAAAAUACCGCCUAGAAAGUAUACAAGAGCAAAUUUUUAGCGGCCUUAUGAAUAGAAAAGAUUUUCACAUUACUAAUAUAAUGACGAUCUAUCAGUCUCUUUUGAAAAGGAGAUAUCAUCUCUAUUUUUUGAUAAUAUCAAACAAAUAACCAGUGCUUUAGAUGGACUUAGGAGAACAUUCUCUAUAACCCUGUAUGCAGGUGGAUGGCUCAGAUUCAUCCCUCCAUUGGUGUGUGGGGCUGAAUCAUUCUGCCAGCAAGAAUUCUUUAUGCAGGGGGCUGCGGAAAAUUCGAACUUGGACUAUAGGUGGAUUGUCAGAAUAUCACAGAGGAUGCAGAGGAAAUAGUUGUUUACCAACUUGCAUACCAAAUUAUGGUGCCCAAUGCAGCAAUAGUGAUCUAGGAUCUAGGCUUUCCGUAACGGUCGGACUGCUCCAAUCAACCCCUGUCAACCGUGUUGCAUAUGAAGGAGGGUCUGAUGAGGUGCGUGUGUCGGCACGCUUCAUACUGUGGUACGAAAAUCCUUGUUAUUGAUAUAGUAGAAGAAAUAUCCUACCUCUCUUGUUUUAAUGAAGUGAUUAGAGAAUUUCUUGUUAGCCGCAUAGUACACCUUAAUUAAUACCAAAACUAAAAAAAUGAAAAGAGAAGAUCAUAUUGAUAGAGUAGAACUUGUUUGAAGUUACAUAUCACUUUACACUUAACCAGGCAAGUGCUUCAUAAGGCUUACAAUUGAGAUUGAUUCCAAAUUUUCUAAGGCCAUACUAAUCAUAGAAGUGGAAAGAGAAUAGUAUAACUCUCUCCAAUGCCUAGUAAAACAUAAUACUACAACACAUUAGGUUGAACAUAAGAGAGCAGAAAGAAAUGUCUUCUCUUCUCUCUCUCUCUCUCUCUCUCUCUCUCUCUCUGACACAUACACACACACAACACCCUAAAGAAA
This is a long non-coding RNA of Ananas comosus (pineapple), 1306 nucleotides long. RefSeq lists it as uncharacterized. The transcript is spliced from 2 exons. The record is from RefSeq and is a predicted model, not a curated record. NCBI's taxonomy places the organism in Eukaryota, Viridiplantae, Streptophyta, Magnoliopsida, Poales, Bromeliaceae.